This 910-nucleotide ribosomal RNA is filed under the name uncultured bacterium. RNAcentral's name for it is "bacterial SSU rRNA". It matches the Rfam family "Bacterial small subunit ribosomal RNA", at positions 33 to 926 of the family's 1533-position model. The record is from RNAcentral.
ACGCUGGCGGCGUGCCUAAUACAUGCAAGUAGAACGCUGAAGAGAGGAGCUUGCUCUUCUUGGAUGAGUUGCGAACGGGUGAGUAACGCGUAGGUAACCUGCCUGGUAGCGGGGGAUAACUAUUGGAAACGAUAGCUAAUACCGCAUGAAAUGGAUUAUCGCAUGAUAAUUCAUUGAAAGGUGCAAAUGCAUCACUACCAGAUGGACCUGCGUUGUAUUAGCUAGUUGGUGGGGUAACGGCUCACCAAGGCGACGAUACAUAGCCGACCUGAGAGGGUGAUCGGCCACACUGGGACUGAGACACGGCCCAGACUCCUACGGGAGGCAGCAGUAGGGAAUCUUCGGCAAUGGACGGAAGUCUGACCGAGCAACGCCGCGUGAGUGAGGAAGGUUUUCGGAUCGUAAAGCUCUGUUGUAAGAGAAGAACGAGUGUGAGAGUGAAAGUUCACACUGUGACGGUAUCUUACCAGAAAGGGACGGCUAACUACGUGCCAGGAGCCGCGGUAAUACGUAGGUCCCGAGCGUUGUCCGGAUUUAUUGGGCGUAAAGCGAGCGCAGGCGGUUAGAUAAGUCUGAAGUUAAAGGCUGUGGCUUAACCAUAGUACGCUUUGGAAACUGUUUAACUUGAGUGCAAGAGGGGAGAGUGGAAUUCCAUGUGUAGCGGUGAAAUGCGUAGAUAUAUGGAGGAACACCGGUGGCGAAAGCGGCUCUCUGGCUUGUAACUGACGCUGAGGCUCGAAAGCGUGGGGAGCAAACAGGAUUAGAUACCCUGGUAGUCCACGCCGUAAACGAUGAGUGCUAGGUGUUAGACCCUUUCCGGGGUUUAGUGCCGCAGCUAACGCAUUAAGCACUCCGCCUGGGGAGUACGACCGCAAGGUUGAAACUCAAAGGAAUUGACGGGGGCCCGCAC